This is a non-coding RNA of Zootermopsis nevadensis, 1700 nucleotides long. Lineage: Eukaryota; Metazoa; Arthropoda; Insecta; Blattodea; Termopsidae. The record is from RefSeq and is a predicted model, not a curated record.
ACAAAUGCACAUCGGAGAGCGAUGUUGUGCUUGCAUACGCGAGUGGAAAGUUUCUUUGUCUUACAAAUUCGUUGUUUGUGGCCACAAAAGUUACUGUGUGUGUGGAAAUAUACGUAUAUUUUCGUGAGGUUUUAUGCUGUGUGCUUUAGAAAUGUCUUAUGUGAAGUAAUAUCAGUGUAAUAUGAACGAGACUGAGAGGCCAGAGAAGGACCACAGAAAAGCCAAGACAAUGCCACAACCCCGGAGGUGGAUUUUCAGUGCUGGCGCCACUAGGCGGAGCAACAUGGCGGCGUCUUAGCCUGACGAGGCACAGAUCCGGGGAACAUCGACUUAAGUACACCAGCCGCCAAUGAUGUGAGACAACGUCACGGAUUUGAGGCGGGGUUACGUCGAUGACGUCAGAGGCCCCUCCUCUGUUUGGACGGUGGCGCUACCUGUGCGGGGGGACCGAGAAGUGAGGUCGUGUGAGUAGUGUUAUCUUGGCAGCCGUGGAAGACGGAAGUUACUCUCGUUAAGUGCGUGGCAACCGCUCAGCGGACACUGACGAUUUAACUCUGUCGUCGACGGCGAUCUCGAGGUGUCUUGUCGGUACGACGUUUUCCGUCUUGUGUCUGUGUUCGUAAUAAUAUAUUUUUUUUUAAGCUGACGUGAGGAAGGAAGAGAUAUUAAAAGGGAAACGUAAAUGAAAAGAUACUAGCAUAAUUUCUGAUUGAAUCCGCGGUAAAUUGGACGACAUGUGUGUGUGUGUUGUGUUUUUUUAUUAAGGAAGAUUUUAAUCGGAUUGUUAUUUUAAAACAGAGUACACACUUCGUGGCAGUUCGAAAUUUUUCCUUUUGUUUCUCUGUCAACAGAACGCAAACAGCGCGAGUUUCGUUCUUCAAUUUCCACCCCCACUCCUCCCCCUCCGAAGUGUAAUUGACCCAAUCGCGUCAUCUGUAAUUGGCUGUCAUUUAUAUUCCGAAAUAAUGAGGGCUAUUACCGUGGUUCUGUGAUCGUUGUGUGGAAUUUUUUUUUAAUUCUCGUCGAAGAUCAUUCUUUUAUGGAGACAUCUAAAUCGAUUGUUUACAUAAGUGACUUCGAUAUUUAUUGUUGUGAAGUGGAUAUAACUGAACAUCGCCUUCGAAUGAAUUAACGCUGGAAUUCUUUUACUCCAAGAAUCUUUUUUUCUUGGGAGAUUUUUAAGAUUCGCUGAGGGGAUAUCGUGAAGUGAUCACAUACACAGAGAGGCAACUGUUUCUUUGUAAGGAUUCGUUUUGAAGAAUUGUGAUAGGUGUGAAAAAGACGAUAAACGAUGUUUUUCUCAGUUGUCACGUAAUUUCUGUGUGUCUGUGUGUUUUGGAGUUGUGUUUCCUGACGUUUCGGUGUACCCCAGAUCGUACUGUCGUGGAGUACAGUUGGUAGAUCUGAGCACGUUUUUUUUUUCUUUUUAUCAAGUGUUUAUUUGCGAGAAACUCUCACGCUGCCAACAUGAGGUAGCAGUGUUCACGGUGACUGGCUUUGUUCACGCUGGACAUCGCUGCCCGGUUCGCGUACACCUCUGCCCUAGUACCCUCGGGUCCCACACUAGUCGCAACGGCAGGUUUCGGCUUCAAUCCCCACCACCCCCAUCACCAUCACCCCUUCUCAUCUCCAUCUUCCACCCCAGCAACUCCGACCUCGCCAGGUGGUUGCUGGAAGUCCGCCCUGACGAUAGUCCCCAC